RNAcentral lists this microRNA precursor (183 nucleotides) under Oryza sativa Indica Group (long-grained rice). RNAcentral's name for it is "MIR812 microRNA precursor family". It matches the Rfam family "MIR812 microRNA precursor family". The record is from Rfam by way of RNAcentral. Lineage: Eukaryota; Viridiplantae; Streptophyta; Magnoliopsida; Poales; Poaceae.
AAAAAAAACAAACCUGGUUUUCGUGUCCAAUGUUUGACUAUUCAUUUUAUAUUAAAUUUUUUUAUAAUUAAUAUUUUCAUUAUUGUUAGAUGAUAAAACAUGAUUAAUAAUUUAUGUGUGACUUAUCUUUUUAAUUUUUUCAAAUAAGACGAAUGGUCAAACAUAAUACGGAAACCCAGGGUU